GUACUCUCUAUUGGGAAGAUUAGCGGACUAUUAAUCCGUAUGUCGCUGGUUCAAGUCCAGCAGAGUGAA
This is a transfer RNA of 69 nucleotides. It matches the Rfam family "tRNA". Rfam says of the family: Transfer RNA (tRNA) molecules are approximately 80 nucleotides in length. Their secondary structure includes four short double-helical elements and three loops (D, anti-codon, and T loops). Further hydrogen bonds mediate the characteristic L-shaped molecular structure. tRNAs have two regions of fundamental functional importance: the anti-codon, which is responsible for specific mRNA codon recognition, and the 3' end, to which the tRNAs corresponding amino acid is attached (by aminoacyl-tRNA synthetases). tRNAs cope with the degeneracy of the genetic code in two manners: having more than one tRNA (with a specific anti-codon) for a particular amino acid; and 'wobble' base-pairing, i.e. permitting non-standard base-pairing at the 3rd anti-codon position.